Molecule: RNA transcript, 1575 nt
Organism: Tetranychus urticae (two-spotted spider mite)
Lineage: Eukaryota; Metazoa; Arthropoda; Arachnida; Trombidiformes; Tetranychidae
Gene name: legumain pseudogene
Source: RefSeq, a predicted model, not a curated record
GAUUCAUCAAUUCAAUCAAUUUUUCAUCAAACAGUAACAAACAUCAAACCAGAAUAAUGUUUUCAUUCUUAGCCAUUUUCCCAAUUCUUUUCGCCCUUUCAGCUUCAACUCCUUUGGCUGAUUUGUUGGAUUCCAAGUCAAAUGCUGGUUACAAUAUCCAUGCUGUAUUGGUUGCUGGGUCAAAUGAAUACUACAACUAUCGUCAUCAAGCCGAUGUUUGCCAUGCCUAUCAGGUCCUAAGAAAUCAUGGUGUUCCUGCCGAAAACAUUAUUGUCAUGAUGUACGACGAUAUCGCCAAUGAUCCUGAGAAUCCUUACCCUGGUAAAAUAUUCAAUGCUCCUAAUGGCUCUGAUGUUUAUGCUGGUGUAUCAAAAGAUUACACUGGUGAUGAAGUAACUCCUGCAAACUUCCUUGGUGUACUCAAAGGUGACAAGGCUCUUGCUGCAAAGGGUAAGAAAGUACUCACUUCUGGACCCAAUGACCAUGUUUUCAUUUACUACGCUGAUCACGGAGCUGUUGGCCUUGUUGGUUUCCCAUCUGACACCCUUUCUUCAGAUGAUUUGAACAAAGCUUUGGUCUACAUGCAUGACAAUAAGUUGUAUGGUAAACUUACAUUUUAUUUGGAAGCUUGUGAAUCUGGUUCAAUGUUUGAAAACAUUUUACCCAGUAACAUAAACAUUUACGCUACUACUGCUGCCAACUCUGAAGAAUCAAGUUAUGGAUGUUAUUGUGAUGACGAAAAAAUUGGUACCUGUCUUGGUGAUGAAUAUUCAGUUGCUUGGCUUGAAGACUCUGACUCUCAUGACAUAACCAAAGAAACAUUGGAACAACAAUUCACAGAUGUUGUGAAACACACUCCGAGCUCACAUCCACAAGAAUUUGGUCAAAAGUCUUUGGCCAGUCUAGAUGUUAGUCAAUUCCAAGGUGAAAAGGCUGGUAAGAUUCGCGUUCCAAGAAGACAUCCAAAGAGUUCCGUAAACGCUAGAGAUAUUCCUUUAGUUAUGCUUAAGCGUAAAAUUAAGCGAACAAAUGACGCCGCUGAAGCUGCUGUUCAUGCUAAAAAAUUACAUACUUUGAUUGCUGGUCGACGAUUCCUUGAAUCAGGCAUCAAAAAGAUCGUCUCUCAACUCUGCUCCGAUGGUUACUGUUCAGAUGCCAAGCAAGUCAUGUCAACUCGACGACCAUUAGUCAAUCAUUCAACAUACUCAAAAGUAGCCAAAAAGUUCCAAUCAAGUUGCCUUAACUUGGGUAUCCACACUCAUGGAAUGAAAUUCAUGUAUGCUUUUGCCAAUCUUGUUGAAUCAAACAACUUCAAUGAGUCAACAUUGAACCGUUUCUUGGAAGAUUUGGAACGAGCUUGUAACAAUCACAUCGUUGACCAUGGAUUCAAAGCUAUUGUCUAAAUGAAAAAAUGGAUAAAAUCUAUGAUAAAAUGAAUUAACAACGAGAGGCGUUGGAACAAGUGUUCAGCAAAUCUGUUUUUUUUUGCUAUCACCAUUGGAUGAGAAAAAUGAGCAAAUGUUAACGUUAAAUUUUUCCAUCCAAGCAAUAAAUAUUAAAAAACUAUUUCAAUUA